UACAGAGGGGGCGAGCGUUGUUCGGAAUUACUGGGCGUAAAGGGCGCGUAGGCGGCCAACUAAGUCAGACGUGAAAUCCCUCGGCUCAACCGGGGAACUGCGUCUGAUACUGGAUGGCUUGAAUUCGGGAGAGGGAUGCGGAAUUCCAGGUGUAGCGGUGAAAUGCGCAGAUAUCAGGAGGAACACCAAUGGCGAAGGCAGCUCGCUGGGACGUGACUGACGCUGAGACGCGAAAGCGUGGGGAGCAAACAGG
RNAcentral lists this ribosomal RNA (253 nucleotides) under uncultured bacterium. RNAcentral's name for it is "partial 16S ribosomal RNA". It matches the Rfam family "Bacterial small subunit ribosomal RNA", at positions 524 to 776 of the family's 1533-position model. The record is from RNAcentral.